Molecule: small RNA, 722 nt
Filed under: Pongo abelii (Sumatran orangutan)
Lineage: Eukaryota; Metazoa; Chordata; Mammalia; Primates; Hominidae
Description: retained intron
Source: RNAcentral
UUAUGGGUUCCCUGGUUUUGGAUUAUUGCACAUAGCCAUCCUGAAGAUUGGCACUGAAUAGCUCUAUUUUUUCGAUUAGUUUCCCAAAAUUAUAGUUUAAAAUCUUGGUCCCUGACAGCUCCAUUUUUAGCCUUUUGAUCCUUUUUGAGAAGGAACAGAUUAGAAAAGAAGGUGAGUUGUUUUUUGGUUGUUAAGACACACACCGUAAACUAUUUUUAAUUUCAGGGGUUUUGUUUUGGGGAUUUUUGUGUUUAUUUAGUGCAAGCCUAAUAAGCUAACCAGAUUAAUUCUCUGGAGACUGCUAGAGUAUUUUCUUUGUUGACUUGGCAGACACUGCAUAUGCGAAGAACAAACUGAAUGGGAAAUGGUAUUACUUUGAUGAUAGCAACGUGUCCCUGGCCUCUGAGGAUCAGAUAGUGACUAAAGCAGCUUAUGUGCUCUUUUACCAACGUCGAGAUGAUGAAUUUUAUAAGACACCUUCACUUAGCAGUUCUGGUUCCUCUGAUGGAGGGACACGACCAAGCAGCUCUCAGCAGGGCUUGGGGGAUGAUGAGGCUUGCAGCAUGGACACCAACUGAUGCUGACUCCAUGAUCCUGCCACCUUGUAGCGCCAGUGUGAUCCCCCAGGAGAACAUCUUUGACACUCUGCAGACUGCUAGUGUUCUGUCUAAAAACCAGACAAGGGAAUACCCUUCUUUUAUGAGCAGAAGGAAAAAAAAAAA